UUUUCAUACCAUAUGUUUUCUCGUAUAUGUGCAGGGAUUGGCCUGCAUGUCUCUACCCGAUCACCGGAAAUGAUUGGACUACGGGAUACGGCAGUCGGCAC
RNAcentral lists this non-coding RNA (101 nucleotides) under Paenibacillus sp. Its description in RNAcentral is "Guanine sequence". It matches the Rfam family "Purine riboswitch aptamer". Rfam says of the family: Riboswitches are metabolite binding domains within certain messenger RNAs that serve as precision sensors for their corresponding targets. Lineage: Bacteria; Bacillati; Bacillota; Bacilli; Caryophanales; Paenibacillaceae. RNAcentral also lists the same sequence under 1 other name. The record is from RNAcentral.